GAUAGUGUGGCCGAGUGGUCUAUGGCGCUGGUUUUAGGCACCAGCCCUUCGGAGGCAAGGGUUCGAAUCCCUACACUGUCA
Molecule: transfer RNA, 81 nt
Filed under: Daphnia pulicaria
Lineage: Eukaryota; Metazoa; Arthropoda; Branchiopoda; Diplostraca; Daphniidae
Description: tRNA-Leu
Rfam family: tRNA
About the family: Transfer RNA (tRNA) molecules are approximately 80 nucleotides in length. Their secondary structure includes four short double-helical elements and three loops (D, anti-codon, and T loops). Further hydrogen bonds mediate the characteristic L-shaped molecular structure. tRNAs have two regions of fundamental functional importance: the anti-codon, which is responsible for specific mRNA codon recognition, and the 3' end, to which the tRNAs corresponding amino acid is attached (by aminoacyl-tRNA synthetases). tRNAs cope with the degeneracy of the genetic code in two manners: having more than one tRNA (with a specific anti-codon) for a particular amino acid; and 'wobble' base-pairing, i.e. permitting non-standard base-pairing at the 3rd anti-codon position.
Source: RNAcentral